This 330-nucleotide long non-coding RNA is filed under the name Ananas comosus (pineapple). RNAcentral describes it as "long non-coding RNA (ACOM_LNC010601)". Lineage: Eukaryota; Viridiplantae; Streptophyta; Magnoliopsida; Poales; Bromeliaceae. The record is from RNAcentral.
AAAUAGAUCCGGGUUGAUAGAGCUUCCAUCCUGAUUCAUCCGAAUGGGGCGGUAAGUGGAAACAAAAAAUAUAGAAAAAUAUAACUCGUCUCAAUCCGCGAAGUAAAUGGAGCGGAAGGUGGGAGACCCUUUUCUUCCUUCGAUCCACAAUGAUCCGUCAAAAAUUCGUAAAAAAUCUGCUCCUGUCCCGAUCUGCCCCGAAUGAAGCAGUAAGUGGAAGCCAAAAAUAAAAUAAAAAAUAAUCCACCCCGCCCCGACAAGAAAUGGAGCAGGAGAUGGGGAACCCUCCUGCCCUCGAAUCUACCCUUUUUGCAUCCCUAAUCUUACAUA